Molecule: long non-coding RNA, 1369 nt
Filed under: Homo sapiens (human)
Lineage: Eukaryota; Metazoa; Chordata; Mammalia; Primates; Hominidae
Description: HSALNT0384237
Source: RNAcentral
UUUCAGCAAGGACAGGAGACUAGGAAGGCGGAGGGAGGCUGCUAUUGGCAGGGCCUCAGUGGAGACCUCCCGGGGUCCCGGGACGCAGACGGACGGGCCUGAAUCGCUCGCCUUGGUGAAAUGGGAUCCAGCGCUGCCAACUGCGGCAACUGCGGUUAAAGGAGACGACCCCGUGCAGCAGGAGGAGGUUAUUUAGAAUAAGGAAGAAUGCGCCGGGCUCAUUGGUCGCUACAGGGGCAUAAAUUUUUUCUAGGAUUCCAGAGUAUGGCUGCUCCAGUCCCAGAUUCGGCUCGACUUACAGACCUCAGCGCAGGACGUGGACGCCCUGCAAAGACGGAGUCUCUCUAUGUCGCCAGGCUGGAUGCUGUUGCGGGAAGUCAGGGACCCUGAACAGAGGGACCAGCUGGAGCUGUGUCAGAGGAACAUAAAUUGUGAAGAUUUCAUUUUAAUAUGGACAUGUAUCGGUUCCCAAAAUUAAUACUUUUAUAAUUUCUUACGCCUGUCUUUACUGCAAUCUCUGAACAUAAGCUGUGAAGAUUUCACGGACAUUUAUCAGUUCCCGAAAUUAACACUUAUAAUUUCUCAUGCCUGUCUUUACUUUAAUCUCUUAAUCCUGUUAUCUUCGUAAGCUGACGAUGUACGUCACCUCAGGACCACUGUGAUAAUUCUACCUAACUAUACAAAUUGAUUGUAAAACAUGUGUAUUUGAACAAUAUGAAAUCAGUGCACCUUGAAAAAGAACAGAAUAACAGUGAUUUUAGGGAACAAGGGAAGAUAAUCAUAAGGUCUGACUAUCUGUGGAGUUGGGCAGAAUGGAGCCAUAUUUUUCUUCUUGCAGAGAGCCUAUAAAUGGACGUGCAAGUAGGGAUAUCACUGAAUUCUUUUCCUAGCAAGGAAUGUUAAUAAUUAAGACCUUGGGAGAGGAAUGCACUCCUCGGGGGAGGUCUAUAAAUGGCUGCUCUGGGAGAGUCUGUCUUAUGCAGUUGAGAUAAGGACUGAAAUAUGCCCUGGUCUCCUGCAGUACCCUCAGGCUUAUUAGUGUGGGGAAAAAACCCCACCCUGGUGAAUUUAAGGUCAGACAGAUUCUCUGCUCUUGAACCCUGUUUUCUGUUGUUUAAGAUGUUUAUCAAGACAAUACGUGCACAGCUGAACAUAGACCCUUAUCUGGAGGUUUUGAUUUUGUCCUUUGCCUUGUGAUCUCUAUUGGCUUCAGAGGCAUGUGAUCUUUGUUCUCCUUUUUGCCCUUUGACACCUGUGAUCUCUGUGACCUACUCCCUGUUCGUACACCCCCACCCCUUUUAAAGUCCUUAAUAAAAACCUCCUGGUUUUGCGGCUCAGGUGGGUCCUACCAAUAUGGGAUGUCACCCCC